GACGAACGCUGGCGGCGUGCUUAACACAUGCAAGUCGAACGGAAAGGCCCUGCUUUUGUGGGGUGCUCGAGUGGCGAACGGGUGAGUAACACGUGAGUAACCUGCCUUUGACUUUGGGAUAACUUCAGGAAACGGGGGCUAAUACCGGAUAGGAGCUCCUGCUGCAUGGUGGGGGUUGGAAAGUUUCGGCGGUUGGGGAUGGACUCGCGGCUUAUCAGCUUGUUGGUGGGGUAGUGGCUUACCAAGGCUUUGACGGGUAGCCGGCCUGAGAGGGUGACAGGGCACAUUGGGCCUCGGGUGGGGGCCAGAGUGAUACGGGGGGAAGCGGUGGAGAACAUUGCGAGCUGGGCCGAAGGCAGAUGGAGGAAUGUCGGGUCGGAGAUGACGGCUUUCGGGUUGGAACCCGCUUUCGCCUGUAACGAAGCGUGAGUGACGGUAAUGGGUCAAGAAGCAACGGCUAACUACGUG
Molecule: ribosomal RNA, 468 nt
Filed under: uncultured bacterium
Lineage: Bacteria
Description: partial 16S ribosomal RNA
Rfam family: Bacterial small subunit ribosomal RNA
Source: RNAcentral